AAAACAUUUGGACUGCCGGUUUACUAAGCGAUUUCACGCGCUCGGUGGAAGAUCUUCCCUUUGUUGA
Molecule: microRNA precursor, 67 nt
Filed under: Bombyx mori (domestic silkworm)
Lineage: Eukaryota; Metazoa; Arthropoda; Insecta; Lepidoptera; Bombycidae
Description: mir-2774 microRNA precursor family
Rfam family: mir-2774 microRNA precursor family
Source: Rfam by way of RNAcentral